UUAAAUGCGCAGUGGCAGUAUCGUAGCCAAUGAGGUUUAUCCGAGGCGCGAUUAUUGCGAGUUGAAAACUUUUCACAAUACCCCGAUAUGACAGCUUGAAAUACCGGCUGGU
Molecule: small nuclear RNA, 112 nt
Filed under: Leptobrachium leishanense (Leishan spiny toad)
Lineage: Eukaryota; Metazoa; Chordata; Amphibia; Anura; Megophryidae
Description: U4 spliceosomal RNA (ENSLLEG00000003005.1)
Rfam family: U4 spliceosomal RNA
About the family: U4 small nuclear RNA (U4 snRNA) is a component of the major U2-dependent spliceosome. The structure of U4 snRNA from yeast and human has been reported.
Source: Rfam by way of RNAcentral